Molecule: transfer RNA, 88 nt
Filed under: Desulfofundulus thermobenzoicus
Lineage: Bacteria; Bacillati; Bacillota; Clostridia; Eubacteriales; Peptococcaceae
Description: tRNA-Leu
Rfam family: tRNA
About the family: Transfer RNA (tRNA) molecules are approximately 80 nucleotides in length. Their secondary structure includes four short double-helical elements and three loops (D, anti-codon, and T loops).
Source: RNAcentral
GCGGCAGUGGCGGAAUUGGCAGACGCGCAAGAUUCAGGUUCUUGUGGGCGGAAAGCCCGUGGGGGUUCAAGUCCCUUCUGCCGCACCA